GUCGGGAUAGCUCACC
Molecule: transfer RNA, 16 nt
Filed under: Spiraea elegans
Lineage: Eukaryota; Viridiplantae; Streptophyta; Magnoliopsida; Rosales; Rosaceae
Description: partial tRNA-Phe
Source: RNAcentral